This 1371-nucleotide ribosomal RNA is filed under the name Aquificota bacterium. RNAcentral describes it as "bacterial LSU rRNA". It matches the Rfam family "Archaeal large subunit ribosomal RNA", at positions 20 to 1476 of the family's 2987-position model. Lineage: Bacteria; Pseudomonadati; Aquificota. The record is from RNAcentral.
AUAAGGUGGAAGACUUGGUUUGAGGCGCUGAUGAAGGACGCGACUAACUGCGAAAUGCCUCGGCGAGCUGUAUGCAAGCUUAGAACCGAGGAUCUCCUAAUCAGACUUCUGUUCAAGACCGAAAGGUCGGGGAACGCAGGGAACUGAAACAUCUCAGUACCUGCAGGAAAAGAAAUCAAUUGAGAUGUGGUUAGUAAGAGCGACUGAAAACCACACACGGCAAACCGAAUCUGGCAUUGAAAAAUGUCAGAGAUGUGGUGUUUUGGACCUCCUUUUAGUCCUCGCUUGGAAAUGCGAAGUCUGCUGGAAAGCAGCACGAUAAAGGGUGAAAGUCCCGUAGCAGUAACCGAGCAAGAUGUGGAGGUAUCCAGAGUAGUGUUCCUUGGAUAUGGAGCAUGAAAAUGGGAGGCACUAACUUCCAACCGUAAAUACGUCUCAAGACCGAUAGCGUACGAGUACUGUGAAGGACAGGUGAAAAGAACCCAUGACAGGGAGUCAAAAGAUCCUGAAACCUUAUAGGUAUAGAAUGACACGGCUUCAAGGAGUUGUGUCGUACGUUUAGAAUAACGUACCAGGGAGUGUAUUUGAGUAGCGAGGUUAACUUAAAAAAAAGGUAGCCAAAGCGAAAGCAACAAGCUCGCAAGCAAUGAGGAGCGCGGUAUGAAAAUGCCGGAAGUUACUCGAAUACGACCCGAAACCAGUCGAUCUAACCCAGGGCAAGGUGAAGUGCGGGUAAAACCGUGUGGAGGCCUGCAGAGUUGCUGUGUGCAAGCGUUCUUCUGACUUUGGGUUAGGGGUGAAAAGCCAAUCGAGACUGGUUAUAGCUGGUUCCUACCAAAAUUGGCCGCAGUCAAGCCUCGAGCGAGAUAGCCAGAAUUGUAGAGCUACGGAUUGGGGAUUUAGGCAUCGCAAGAUGUCGGUUCCUUGUCCAACUCCGAAUGUUCUGGCGUUGUAGACCUCGGGAGACGGGGUGCGCGCGUAAGGUGCGUAUCCGUGAGGGGAACAACCCAGACUAUGGUUAAGGUCCCUAAGAAAUGAUUAAGUGUGAACGGACAAAGGGCGUCUGUGCCCAGAGACAGCGGGGAGGUAGGCUCAGAAGCAGCCACCCUUUAAAAAGUGCGUAACAGCUUACCCGUCAAGGGUGCGGGCCCCAAAAAUGGACGGGGCUAAAUCAUUCACCGAAACCAUAGACGACCCAAAAAGGUCGUGGUAGGUAGGCGUUUUGCUUGGGUAGAAUAUGGUUUGAGAAAAUCAUAGGACCGAGCAAAAAUGAAGAUCCUGGUAGUAGUAGGAUCCUAGUUGCGUGAGAAUCGCAACCACCGAAAGGGCAAGGGUUCCUUGGCAAUGUCAAUCAGCCAAGGGUUAGUCGGU